This is a non-coding RNA of Ornithorhynchus anatinus (platypus), 781 nucleotides long. The record is from the annotation of a RefSeq genome assembly. Lineage: Eukaryota; Metazoa; Chordata; Mammalia; Monotremata; Ornithorhynchidae.
CGGUCCCACUUCAGACCACUUGGAGCUCAGGAACAGGUGGGAACCACCACCCUCUCCCCUUUGCAUCCUCCCCAGAGCCCCAACUGCUGCAGGCGGAGACAUGCUGGCAUCCGUCACCCUCCUUCUCGCCUCCCUGCUCCCUGCUGGAGAGACGGCUCUCUCCCUGAACCAGCCAGUGGUCUCCAUCAGCAGACAGUACGGGAUGUCCGCAACGAUUCUCUGCGAGUUUUCUGACAGUAAGAGCAGUUACAUCCACUGGUAUCGCCAGCAGCCCGGGAAGGCUCCCCAACGCAUUCUCUACUACAACAUACGCACAUCGCAAACCACGAUGGAUUCAGGAUUUAGCUCUUGGAAAUUCCAACCUGACAAGAUUGAUGAUAAGAGCUGCACCCUGCUGAUCAAGGACCUGGGCUGGAGUGAUACCGGCAUCUAUUACUGUGCCAUCUGGGACUCCACGGUGACACAGCUCUCCCCCUUGGCCAACAAACUCCUACAGACCAUGCGAAUGCUCCCCGUUACCCCAAACACCUCUCCUCUCCACCCCCCAAAACGAUCCCCGAGCGCUGCAGGCAGAGACGUGCUGGGGUCUGUCAUCCUCCUUCUCACCGCGCUGCUCCCCGCUGGACAGACGGCCCUCACCUUGGAUCAGCCAGUAGUCUCCAUUAUUAAACACCCAGGAAAUUACGCGAAGUUUCUCUGCGAGUUUUCCGACAAGAGUAUCACAUACAUCCACUGGUAUCGCCAGCAGCCCGGGAAGGCUCCCCAGCGCCUGCUCUACUAG